CCUACGGGGGACAGCAGUGAGGAAUAUUGGUCAAUGGACGAGAGUCUGAACCAGCCAAGUAGCGUGAAGGAUGACUGCCCUAUGGGUUGUAAACUUCUUUUAUAUGGGAAUAAAAUGUUCCACGUGUGGGAUUUUGUAUGUACCAUAUGAAUAAGGAUCGGCUAACUCCGUGCCAGCAGCCGCGGUAAUACGGAGGAUCCGAGCGUUAUCCGGAUUUAUUGGGUUUAAAGGGAGCGUAGGUGGAUUGUUAAGUCAGUUGUGAAAGUUUGCGGCUCAACCGUAAAAUUGCAGUUGAAACUGGCAGUCUGGAGUACAGUAGAGGUGGGCGGAAUUCGUGGUGUAGCGGUGAAAUGCUUAGAUAUCACGAAGAACUCCGAUUGCGAAGGCAGCUCACUGGACUGCAACUGACACUGAGGCUCGAAAGUGUGGGUAUCAAACAGGAUUAGAUACCCCAGUAGUC
Molecule: ribosomal RNA, 460 nt
Filed under: uncultured bacterium
Lineage: Bacteria
Description: partial 16S ribosomal RNA
Rfam family: Bacterial small subunit ribosomal RNA
Source: RNAcentral